AGGAGGGAGGCGGUGGAAGGGAGACGGGAGGAGGAGAUGAGGUCAUGGAUAGUGGAGUACACAGUCUGUUGGUAGCUGGGC
Long non-coding RNA from Octopus sinensis (East Asian common octopus), 81 nucleotides. RefSeq lists it as uncharacterized. NCBI's taxonomy places the organism in Eukaryota, Metazoa, Mollusca, Cephalopoda, Octopoda, Octopodidae. The transcript has 3 exons. The record is from RefSeq and is a predicted model, not a curated record.